RNAcentral lists this transfer RNA (72 nucleotides) under Felis catus (domestic cat). It matches the Rfam family "tRNA", at positions 7 to 64 of the family's 71-position model. Rfam says of the family: Transfer RNA (tRNA) molecules are approximately 80 nucleotides in length. RNAcentral also lists the same sequence under 1 other name. The record is from Rfam by way of RNAcentral. Lineage: Eukaryota; Metazoa; Chordata; Mammalia; Carnivora; Felidae.
UUGGCUCAGUCGGUUAAGCAUCUGACUUCAGCUCAGGUCAUGAUCUCACAGUUCGUGGGUUCGAGCCCCACA